Molecule: ribosomal RNA, 1728 nt
Filed under: Triticum aestivum (bread wheat)
Lineage: Eukaryota; Viridiplantae; Streptophyta; Magnoliopsida; Poales; Poaceae
Description: partial small subunit ribosomal RNA
Source: RNAcentral
AUGAAACGGCGCAGCCACCAGCAGCCAAGGCGCUGGCCCUGGGAAGGGGUCGCGGCGUGCAAGGGCGUGAUGGAUACACUGGUUAUAGCAGAGAUGGUCAGAACUACAACCGAUACGGUUAGUGGGGAGAUGACGGAUAUGAUGCUUAUGGUGAGGGACUGCACCGUGGAUCUUCAUCCGGUGGCGGCCGUGGUUAACCGAUACAAUACUGAGGACACUGGACAUUUUCAAGGUCCACCCGGUAAUUUUGUUGAAGGUGUCGCCGGACCCAGGGAUCGAUUCCGAGGUGGCUAUCGUCGCGGUGGGAGAGGGAGACGACCACCACCGCCUCGACACUAUCCACCGCCACCACCGCCUGCUACGGAUAUGGCCUCGGAGGAGGAGCUCGAGCAUACAGCUGAUGGGGUGGGAGACCCAUCCACGUUACCCGCGGCGGUAGUGGACGCGGUUCGGGCUCUGGCAGCAGUGCAUGUUCCGGUGACUACUGGAGGUGCUAAGUCUAGGGAUGGUGCGUCUGAUAAAGGACCGGAGAAAGCGGAGGGCGAAAAGCUCUCUAAGUGGGCAAUUAAGAAGAAAAAGUUGCCCUGCUAUAGAUGUGGUGAACCGGGUCAUUUCGUGGCAGAGUGUACGAAUGAGCUUUGUGAUUAUUGCCUUCGCUCCCAGCAUGUGACCGGGGAAUGCCCUCUCCUUUCCGAUCCUAAGCCUGGCAUUAACAUUUAUGGGGUCUGCUGUAAGGAGUUGAUUGGACAGUUGACCGAGGCUCAAAUCGUCAGACAACUACGUGAGUUAGUGCCGGGUAAUUAUCAGUGGCACCUGGAGCAGUUAGAAGGUUGGUCUUAUAAGGUUGACUUUCCCACCAAAGAGGAUCAGAUGCAUUUUCUUAAGUGGGGUUUAUGCAGAGUUACGAGCACAAACAUUGUUAUCGCUUUCGACGAGUGGAAGCAGGAGGAACCUGAGGAUACACCUUUGGAGAAGGUGUGGAUUCGUUUCUAUGGCGUGCCACCUAAAUAUGUAAAACACUUUCUGAUUGCUUGGAGUUUGGGUGGCUUGAUUGGUAAGACAGAAAAGGUUGACAUGCCAUUCACUCACGCACAAAACGCUGCGAGGCUAUUGGUCAGUGUUGUGAGUGUUGAGCAUAUACCAGAUGUAGUCAGAUGGACACAUGUUGGAGUCACUUAUGUCUUAGAGCUUGAGAUCGAGGAUACUGCAGUUUCCGAGGAUGGGGAUGGGACACAAGACCUGGAUACGACCGAGGGUGGCGGCGCACCUGGGAACCAGGAGAAGGGGGUCGAUGAUACACUGCCGGAGUCGGACAAGGGGCCUGCUACACAGCCAGAUAAGGUAGCCAGUUCUACCAAAGAGGCGCCCCCGUCCACUACUUCGAUGAACACGCUUCACUUUGGUUCAUUUGCACCGGGGUCUGCUCCUAGCCGGUUAUGGAGCACCAGGGUCGAGGCAGACGACCCGACAGAGCUUGAGUUGCCACCGGUGCCGAGUCUAGUCGGUGAUGUGACGAUCGCGGAGCCUACUCCCGGUGCGAGGGUGGUUUCUGUUGGGGUGGCCGCGGGUUUGGGGGGUCGUGGGCAGGAUGCCCAUCACACCCAGAUACCAGAGCCCGACUUUUCGUCGGCGGGAGGGGCGCCUAGACAGGAGGUCUAUGGCGUUCUUCCUACUUCAACGUCUCCGGUCGAGUUGGGGGGAGGUGCGGGAAGGAGUCCCGUUCUAUAA